This 524-nucleotide ribosomal RNA is filed under the name uncultured bacterium. RNAcentral's name for it is "partial 16S ribosomal RNA". It matches the Rfam family "Bacterial small subunit ribosomal RNA", at positions 28 to 523 of the family's 1533-position model. The record is from RNAcentral.
GACGAACGCUGGCGGCGUGCUUAACACAUGCAAGUCGAACGAGACGAUUGAAAGCUUGCUUUCGAAAGUCGAGUGGCAAACGGGUGAGUAACGCGUAGACAACCUGCCUUUGAGAUGGGGACAACAGUUCGAAAGGACUGCUAAUACCGAAUGUUGUAUAUUUUCCACAUAGAAGAUAUAUUAAAGAUGGCCUCUAUUUAUAAGCUAUCGCUCAAAGAUGGGUCUGCGUCUGAUUAGCUGGUUGGUGGGGUAACGGCCUACCAAGGCGACGAUCAGUAGCCGGUCUGAGAGGAUGAACGGCCACAUUGGGACUGAGACACGGCCCAGACUCCUACGGGAGGCAGCAGUGGGGAAUCUUCCACAAUGGACGAAAGUCUGAUGGAGCAACGCCGCGUGAGUGAAGAAGGGUUUCGGCUCGUAAAGCUCUGUUGUCGGGGACGAAUGUGCAGUAUUUGACUAAAGUACUGCAAUGACGGUACCUGACGAGGAAGCCACGGCUAACUACGUGCCAGCAGCCGCGGUAA